Molecule: microRNA precursor, 149 nt
Filed under: Punica granatum (pomegranate)
Lineage: Eukaryota; Viridiplantae; Streptophyta; Magnoliopsida; Myrtales; Lythraceae
Description: MIR168 microRNA precursor family
Rfam family: MIR168 microRNA precursor family
Source: Rfam by way of RNAcentral
UCACCGGCGGUCUCUGAUUCGCUUGGUGCAGGUCGGGAACCGAUUCGCAGCUCCGCUCACCGGGCGGUUGCGCCGCUUUGAGAUUCCUUUGCUCCGAGCGCAUAUCGAAUCCCGCCUUGCAUCAACUGAAUCGGAGGCCGGCGGUGAAA